CAAGCCUAAAGGCCCAGAUCUCUUAAGAUACGUAGAUUUGCUUAACUCUUGCUGAAAUCACGAAGUGAUUAGCAACAGAUCUACUCUAAAUGUCCUGAUCAAACCUAUACAAAGGAUCCAUGACAGAAGAGAUAUUAAAGCCAGUUUCUUUACACACAGACUAAAAGAGAAAUACAGCUUUUAAUUUGCCUCAGUAUUCCCAGUCCUGUCCCAUCCUGUUCCCUGCCUACCUAUGCCUCCCCCCCCCGAAAAAAAAAAAAAAAAAAAAAAAAAAAGAAAAAAGAAAAAAAAAAGCUUAUAAUAUUAAGAACUGAAAAAGGAGAUUCAGGAAUAUUGAUGCAGAAGUUUCAGGUAGGUAGAUAAAUCCAUACUUCAUUGAGAAAUGCAGUUAACAAAGAUGAAAUUCUUCCAUUUUCUACUGUCUAUUUUUACUGGCUUUAAGCAGUAUCCACACUGUGGGGUGUGACUGCACAGACAUGCAGUUCUGUGCCACUUCUGAAAAAAGAAAAUAGGAUGAUUUCCUGCUCAGGAAGGUAACCUCUCAUGAAAGCUUCAGCAGUGGAGGCCACAGCUCUACCGCAGCUGAAGCAUCUGGCCCUUCAGAGCAUACAAAUCCUGUCCUCAUGCUUUGUCUUACAGGUAUAAAGACAAAAUGGUUAAGAAGAAAACAAAACAAAACAAAACAACAACAACAACAACAAAAAAAGACCUCUUCCACUGUUAAAUUUUUGAUCCAGACUGGGAGGACUGAUUCAGUCCUGCAAUGGUUGGAAUUCACCAAAAGGAUGAAAUCACACCAGUUCUAUUAUCUGUCAGUUAAACUCUUUGAACCUUCAAGUCAUAUUCAUAGAAAGGAUAGUAUUUUGAGGGAUGCUAAAACUUGUAAAAUGGGGAAUGGAUCUGUGUUCAUUUACUGGCAAGUGCUGGAAGUUAUUAAGUGGUGCUGAUUUCUUGCUACAUGCAAACCCUAAUCUAUUGCCAAAAUCUGAAUAAAAAUGAAGUUUUACUGCCA
Molecule: long non-coding RNA, 1012 nt
Filed under: Anas platyrhynchos platyrhynchos (common mallard)
Lineage: Eukaryota; Metazoa; Chordata; Aves; Anseriformes; Anatidae
Description: lncRNA (ENSAPLG00000028959.1)
Source: RNAcentral